UGAGGCGGGCUGUCAUGCCACCCAGGCGAGAUCUGCUGCAGCCGCUCUUUAUGCAUGCCACGGGGAUAAGGCUGCGUGAUAAGAGGCUCCAUUUUGGGGCCACUCGGCAUGCUUCUUGAUAAAGGCUAACAAUAGUGCACCAUGGACUUCCCUGCUCUUGACGCCCAGCGCUUGUCAACAGGGAAGAGUGUGAGAGGAAGGAACCCAGCGUUGCUCAUCACCUUAUUUAGUAAGUGAACCCGAGUGCCGGGCCAGGCUAGGGAUGACUUAACCUCAGUUUCUAUUUGCAGCUCCAUGUGGAGACAGCUGGCCUGCCCAGGCCUGGUGGGUCUCCUUUUACACCGAAGGGGAAUGAGGGCAGAUUAGGAGGACGACCUCCCCUCUCGCUGGUGGGUGGACCUGGUAAUCUAGCAUCAGGCACCAGAUAGAUAUUUUUGGCAAAGGGCAUGUGUUCUUUCUUUUUCUCUUGCCGGCAUCCCAACACCAGUUCUAGGGGAAGCAAACUCACAUGUUCUCUAAGGAAAUGGCUCUUGGCUACAGCUUCGACUCCCAGGCCUUCUCCUGUGCCAGUGUACACACGGCGCCACCACUGCCAUCCUCGCCGCCGUCUUGUUGGACCACGCCUCCUCAGGUUGCCAGGAAAGAAAGUAACGGGGAUAAAAAGAAAGGCUCGGGGCUCCUCCGAGCAGACACCGCACUGCCAGGUAUGGAGUACGCGCUUUGUGUGGAAAGUGAAGCAAAAGUAACUUUGGGGCUGGGCCGUGUAAUACUAGCCGGUGUACUAACAGGACAGCACCAGCUUCUGAACAAUGAAUUCAAAGGGGCUAUAAAGUUUCACUCCUGUAGACCGCGGCGACGUGCUAGACAAUCGUGAGGAGGGAAGGAAGCGGUGCCGACGGUCUGUGGCCCCAAACAGGCCACUUCCAUAUGCUCUCGAGUGCCUGACAGCUUUUGCAGCCCAGUCCCAACUCCUCCUCAGCCACGUCCAUAUGGCACCCACAGAUUGGGAGCUUGCCUUUUCUGAAACACUCAGACUCGCUUGGUAUUCUACCGCACUGAAGUUUGUGAGCAGCGACUCUUCCUUCUACUGCAAAAAUAAGAUUAUGGAUAUUAAUUCAUCCAUUUUCUUCAGGGCAGACAAUAAUGGAUCCUGACAGUCUUAUAUUUCAAUUUUGCAGAAAGAAAUUAGUUGCAUAUAUCUAAAAACUAAUAGGAAAAGAAACCAGGCUCUCAUCUCUGCUUCGAGAUUCUUGGUGACACCAAGUGCUUGGGGGUCUCAGUGUGAAAAGACAUUGUUCUUAAGUGCUCAUCAUACAGCAGGGAGCCGGGAAAUAGGAACUUUGGGCUGGAAUGUGUCAUGUCAGGGUGCUGUUCUCAAAGCUGAACUGGACAGUGCGGUAUUUAAUGGAAAUCUUGGAUAUGUAAUGAGCAAAAUGCGUGCAGAGCGUUUGUCUGGAGUGAUGAUCAGUGUCAGUAUUGCUGGGGACAUGUUUACAUAUCAUUAAGCUUUUGUUUCUAGACUCCGAAUACUCAGUGCCACCUGCCAUUUGGCAGAUUUAACGGGCAGUGGUCAUUAUUUUCAUAUCAGCAGAGAAAGGCUGACAUCAUCUAAACUAUAAAUAAAAGGAUGAAAGCGCCGAACACUUGCCGUGGAGGGCCUCCACCGUUAGUAAGAGAUAAACACAUUUCCAAGAAGCAUGCACCCUCAGGUCUGAGUAAUGCAUGUGAAGGAGUCUGUCACUUCGACAAAAGCUUUCCUAAAACACAGUGAGAACACCAACACACCGAUGAGGGUGCAAUUUGUAAAAGAAGAGAAACAGAACGCUAGAGAAACAGUCAAUAUAAAUUUGGUGAGUUGAAAGUACAAGAACAAAAUUUGUAAAGUAGAAAAGAUAAGAGCGGCAACAAACCUCCCCAGAGCUGCACUCUAGCACUUCAAGACCGGAAGGGAGGAAAAUAAACAUCAGCAUCCUUUCCUAGCUGGUGCUGUGGGUUUUCUCUUUGCUCAGCUCUUGACAAGCUGUGGACGUGUUCUGGCCUUUCGGAGGAGUCAGGGAAUAGCAUGGUGGGUGCUUCCUGUAUUGAAAUGUGCACACAUGGGGAAAUACCAACGCAUCGGAGACAUGAGCUUUUGUGCUGACACAUGAUCUUAAAGACUGAACACAGCCAAGACUCUGGCGGUUUCGAAUUCAUGAAGAAAAGGCCUGGGACCCCAGCCUUCCCUGCUGCCCAGUCCACUAUGGGAAGCUUUGGGAGGAAAGUGGUCCUGGGACCGCGCUCACGUCUCCAAGCCCAUUCCAUGCCCUUUGCCAAUGUCUACAAAUACUUCUGCCUGUACUGUUGAAGGCCCCAGCGUGAAGCGACAGGUACUUAUCCCUUAAUGGGUAAGAAACUCUCAGGCUUUUAGAGGUCUUGAGUUGAAGAGACGAAAGGUUCAUGUUUUUGGUUCAUUUCAAAGUAAAUUAUGGUUUUCUUAGAAACUACUACUUACCAUGAAGACAUGCCUGUCCCUGACAGUCUGUGCACGCCGUCUAUUUUCACCUUACGGGAGACUAAUUAAAGCUAGAUCACAGCUCCCCCAGGCCUGAAACAUUGUGAAGAGUAGCAUUUUGAUGCAGUGUGUGGAGUACUGUGCGAAAUGCGCAGCGAAUCAUUUGCUGUAACCUUUGUUGGGAGGCACGCAUGCAUGCAGGACCUGGAUGGCAGGUUUUAUCUUUUAUUUCUUACUUGUCCUAAGCCAACAUCUGCAGAGGAACAGCACCUGCGAGCUCCUCAGGACACACUAAAGCAUGUCUUCCCCACAAGUGAGUGACACGUGGACGGACCAUGAUGGCUGUUUCAGGUUCUCAGACACAAGAACAACACUCGGGCAAAGCCAGGCGUGGCUGAAUGGCAACGGCAGAUACUGAGGGGAACUGGGUGCUGGUCACGGACUGAAAACAGCUCUAGGCAAAGCAUGAGGAAGACAACUUACAGGAAGGGACCAGGCUGCCUUCUAGAAGCAUGGUCACAGACUUUCUGUUUAUGGACCGUCACACACACAGAUCACCUGCGGCUUCCCAAGGCAGGAACCUUUAAAGCUGAAGAUCACGGUCUGACUCAGUAGGGGAGCAGCUUUUGAAAGACAUCAGACACCUCCAAGACAGUGCCUUGGCAUCUCCUCUGGAGCUUAGGGCCUAAGUGUACAUUCUUUGUGUUAGAGAUAGCAAUGAGUCAUUUUGAUGGGGGACAGGAUUGGGUUAUGAAUUGUCACCGAAGCAAUUUAUGCAGUAUUGAAUUAUUUCAACAGAGACAACACAUUUGGUAAAUGCCUACUACUUCCAGACACAGGAAACUACUUAGGAGAGUCUUCUCUAUGCCUAGAAAAGCCCCCUGUCUCCCCGACGGGAUAUGCAAGGCACAACUACGCUUGGGGACUCUGUUGGCACAGAGCACGUAAUUUUAUUUAGGAAAUAUUACCAUUUAAAUGCACACAGUCACAACAUAGCAGCAAAGUGACAAUUACAAUAAAAAAAGUAUUAUACGUGGU
This is a long non-coding RNA of Peromyscus leucopus (white-footed mouse), 3529 nucleotides long. RefSeq lists it as uncharacterized. The record is from RefSeq and is a predicted model, not a curated record. Lineage: Eukaryota; Metazoa; Chordata; Mammalia; Rodentia; Cricetidae. The transcript has 3 exons.